AUCCUGCCGACGAAUCCCGGAUAGGAAGAAACGCGUGUCCUGGAU
This is a non-coding RNA of Schistosoma rodhaini, 45 nucleotides long. NCBI's taxonomy places the organism in Eukaryota, Metazoa, Platyhelminthes, Trematoda, Strigeidida, Schistosomatidae. The record is from Rfam.